RNAcentral lists this ribosomal RNA (420 nucleotides) under uncultured bacterium. RNAcentral's name for it is "bacterial SSU rRNA". It matches the Rfam family "Bacterial small subunit ribosomal RNA", at positions 355 to 775 of the family's 1533-position model. The record is from RNAcentral.
UGGGGAAUCUUGCGCAAUGGGCGAAAGCCUGACGCAGCGACGCCGCGUGUGGGAGGAAGCUCUUCGGGGUGUAAACCACUGUUGCCCGGGACGAACAGCUCGUUUAGACGAGCCUGACGGUACCGGGUGAGGAAGCACCGGCUAACUCUGUGCCAGCAGCCGCGGUAAUACAGAGGGUGCGAGCGUUGUCCGGAAUCACUGGGCGUAAAGGGCGCGUAGGUGGUAACCUAAGCGUGCGGUGAAAGCCCGAGGCUCAACCUCGGGUCGGCCGUGCGAACUGGGUCACUCGAGCAGAAUAGAGGCAGGUGGAAUUCCGGGUGUAGCGGUGGAAUGCGUAGAGAUCCGGAAGAACACCGGUGGCGAAGGCGGCCUGCUGGGUUCUGGCUGACACUGAGGCGCGACAGCGUGGGGAGCAAACAG